Molecule: long non-coding RNA, 7267 nt
Filed under: Solanum lycopersicum (tomato)
Lineage: Eukaryota; Viridiplantae; Streptophyta; Magnoliopsida; Solanales; Solanaceae
Description: long non-coding RNA (SLYC_LNC001184)
Source: RNAcentral
GUGUUGGAAUUCUUAAGAACAGGGAGAAGCACAAGGGUAGCUUUGAGACAGUUCACAUUCAGGAUUCCCUGGGGCAUGAGUUUGCUACCCGUUUGGGAAAUGUGUUCACUCUUGGUAAAGGUAGUAAGCCAUGGGUCUCUCUACCUAAGGGUAAAGGUAUCAAGUUAUCUAUCAUUGAAGAGGCUCGCAAGAGGAUGGCUGCUCAAUCAGCUACAACUGCUUAAAAAUGAUAGGUUGAACUUGAGAUGAAUUUAAUAGGUUGCGCUAUUUUUCUCUUUGUUUAGAGGGUUGCCACCUCUUAUUUUUGGUGUUGCAUUUCAACAUCCUAUGUACUCGGUAUUGUUUUACAUACCUUUUUUUGUCAGGAAAAAACAAUGACUGAGUUUAGACCAAUCAGUUGCCUUUUUAUGUGAUGGUAUUUCAUUGUAAGAGUUUAAGGACCUUGUCGAUGAGUUUAUUCACUUGUUUCAAAAUGAGUUUUUGGUUGUAAUAUCUUCAAAUCCAACCUGCUGUUGUAUUCCAAAGUUGGUGUAGUUCACUAAACCUGAUUCGUAAUUUCAUUUUCAUAAACUUCAAAUGAUGUGGGUUCUUUUGUCCUACUAAUUGUACAAUCAAACAUAAUUGUCGAAUUAUAUGUAUUUUCGGAAUCUCUUUCCUGAUGAUUUCUGAUUUUGAUGUAAUUUUGUUUGAGUUAAUGUCAUUAGAGUUAAAAAUGAGAAGUUCAGUCAUUGAUUAUAUAGUAGAUGACUCGAAUGAGUGAGAACAAUGAAGGAUUAAUAACACUUUGAUAUUGGUUCACUUAGUCCAUCUUUUGUAUUAAAAUGUAAGAACUAAGAAUCAUAUCCUCACAAACAUUAUGAAAAGAAAGUUAUCGUGGGGACAAAUUAUUGUCCAGAUGCAAUUAGUCUUGUAGUGACAACACUUCAAGGCAUACAAUCAACUAAAACUAUUUAGUUCAUAAAUAAUGAUUUCAUUUCUGCUAAUGUAAGUGCCCAACAAGCCAUUUUAUGUACAUGUACUUGAAUACAGAGUUUAAAGAAAUUUCACUGAAGAUCGAUGAUAUGAUAUGUUUGACAUGUCUAUUCAUUUUCCAUUUUAUACAAAGAACUUCAAUAUCAAGUGGUGCUUUGCAAAUGGUUAGUACAACAAAAAUGCUGAGCAUGUAGUAAGGUAUAUUAGGCACAAAUCAUCACUUAGUUGACAUAAAAAUGCACAACCAGGUCCGACUUAGUAGAAAUAAACAUGGUAUUUAAUGAAAGAGCAAAUAGAACCUAAAACAGAAUACAAAAUUUGCACGGUAAAUUCUCACAUCAAUUCAAUCACAAUAGUAAAUUAUUACCUGCAUAACAAAAUAGAAUGUUAUUUUUGGUUUUCAAGCUAGAUAUAAGGAGAUACAUCUUAGUAAGUGUAUUUGCUAACAAAUUCAAACUUCCAUUUCAUAGCUUAAACAUCUUUCUUUCAGAUAAAUAUAGAGGCUAUGUUUGUUGGGUCGCAUAAUUGUUCGAUAAAUAAGGCCCAUAUUCUAAAGUGGUUAAAUGGCCCAAUAUGCUAUAGGCCCAAAACAAAUUGGGCGCAUGAGGUAUGUAAUAUAGUAUUUAAGAGAUUGUAUCUUCAUCUCGUUAGGGUUUGAAGAGACACACCUCUCGCCGGUUGCCGUCACUCGCCGCAGUUAAUCAGUCGGGAAACCGCCAAAAUGGUUAGUUUUCUCUAUCUGUUUAUUAAUCUCGUUAAUUUUUUUAGAUUGUUAUUUGUUGCCUGAUUGAUCAGUUGUAUUUGAGUCUCCAUGGCUUUUGUUCCAGGUCUAGACAGUACUGUAUCAGUUAUACCUUUGCUAAUUGCUUGCUAUAUGUGUAAUUCAUGUAAUAUUAUAUUCUUGGCUGUGCUUUUCGAUUUAUGCGCUGAAAUGUAUGUGUUGAUCUCAAGUGGUGCUGGUUAAUUUUAGGGCUUGUAUGUGUAAAUAAUCAAUUACAUUAGUUACUGUCGCCAUUAGAUAUUAGUGUAUACAGUUUUUUUAGUUGUAUUUUGCUGUCAUUGUGAUUGCUGUUGCACUCUGUGUUGUACUGUAUCCUUCUUAAAAAAUUAAUUUUGUUACAAGAUAAGAUUACUAAAUAAUUAGUAAAGACAUAGUGAGAAAAUAAAUAGAUCAGGCCAAAUUGGUCGUUACACAAAGUAAGACAAAUCCCUUACUGCUGAUUUAAUGAUAGCUUGAGGUUUGGACAGUGGAAUUGUGUAGUAUAAGUUCAAGUUAUUUACUCGAUGCAUUGAAUAAUUGCUCUUUACCUUUGUGAAAAAACAAGCUUCUAUUGUUGUUUGACAUAGAUAGAUUAUAAUAAAAAGCUGUGGAAUAGCUCCCCUUUUUCUUUUUGGUAAAGUGACUUUUGUUCUUUCAGCUUUCAUUUAUAUAAGUGGUAAUAUUUUUGCAUUUAGGCUUUGGAAACAUCAUACUAAAGUGAAUUGUGUAACUUCUUGUCCAUAUAUAGGCAAGAGGGUUGAAGAAACAUUUGAAGAGGCUCAAUGCGCCUAAGCAUUGGAUGCUUGAUAAACUUGGAGGUGCUUUUGUAAGUGACAUGUCUUUCCCUAUAGUCUUUUUUUUGAUAGUACUACUUAGUUUCCUCCUUCUUGACUUUACUUUUCUCCUUGGUUUCUACUGCAGGCUCCCAAGCCUUCUUCUGGUCCACAUAAAUCAAGGGAAUGUUUGCCAUUGGUUAUUAUCCUGAGGAACAGGUUGAAAUAUGCGUUGACGUACCGUGAGGUCAUUUCUAUCUUGAUGCAACGCCAAGUUAUGGUUGAUGGGAAAGUUAGAACAGAUAAGACUUACCCUGCUGGUUUCAUGGGUAAGAACACCUCUAUUAGAGUGUCUUUCAUUUCAAAACCUUUAGAUUUAUGUUCUCCUUAUUUCUGUACUGUCUAGGUUUGCGGUCUUACUGAUUCAUCUAUAUACACAUGCUUUCACAGAUCCAAAGACCAUUGUUGAUGAGAGUGUAUUCAAGCUUUUUUAUCAAAAAUUAUUGUCUCAGUGUCCUUUUUUCUUAUUUUUUUUCUUGUUGCUAUGUUUGUUGAAUUCCUUGACAAAUUGGUAAUGCUUUUAUUUUGUUUGUGUAGAUGUUGUUACUAUUCCAAAGACAAAUGAGAGCUUCCGACUUCUUUAUGACACUAAGGGUCGGUUCCGCCUCCACUCACUCAGAGACGAGGAAGCCAAGGUUUGAACCUGUAUCCUGCUUCUUCUUUGUUCCGGUUUGCUUUGGCUGUGCUGCUUAAGUAGUGACCUUGUUUUCUGCUCGCAGUUCAAACUUUGCAAGGUUCGAUCAGUCCAGUUUGGACAGAAGGGUAUCCCAUAUCUCAACACAUAUGAUGGAAGAACAAUCCGCUACCCUGAUCCCCUCAUCAAGGCCAAUGACACCAUCAAGCUGGACUUAGAUUCCAAUAAGAUUGUUGACUUCAUCAAGUUUGAUGUUGGUAAUGUGGUUAUGGUUACUGGUGGUAGAAACAGGGGACGUGUUGGAAUUCUUAAGAAUAGAGAGAAGCACAAGGGUAGCUUUGAGACAGUUCACAUUCAGGAUUCCCUGGGGCAUGAGUUCGCUACCCGUUUGGGGAAUGUGUUCACUCUUGGUAAAGGUAGUAAGCCAUGGGUGUCUUUACCUAAGGGUAAAGGUAUCAAGUUAUCUAUUAUUGAAGAGGCUCGCAAGAGGAUGGCUGCUCAAUCAGCUACAACUGCUUAAUAAUCAUAGGUUGAACUUGAGAUUAAUUUAAUAGAUUUGGUCAUUUUUCUCUUUGUUUAGAGGGAUGCCGUUCUUAUUUUUUGUGUUGCAUUUCAACAUCUGUGUACUUGGUACUAUUUUACAUACCUUUUUUUGUCAGGAAAAAAGAAAGACUCAGUUGAGAUCAAUCAGUUGCCUUUUAUGUGAUAGUAUUUUAUUGUUACAGUUUAUGAUCUUUGUCGAUGAGUUUAUUCACUUAUUUCAAAAUGUGUUUUUGGUUGUAAUAUCUUUAAAUCCAACCUGGUGUUGGAUUCCAAAUUUGGUAUAGUGCACUAAACUUGAUUCCUACUUCCUUUUUCGUAAACUUCAAAUGAAGUGGUUUCUUUUGUCCUGCAAAUAGUAUAAUCAAACAUAAUUGUCUAAUUUGAUAUAUUUUCCGAAUCUCUUGCCAGUUAAUUUCUGAUUUUGAUGUAAUUUUGUUUGAGUGGUGUCAUUAGAGUUAAAAUGAGAAGUUAAGUCAUAAAUUAUACAGACUUAACUGAGUGAGUGCAACCAAGGAUUAAUUACACUUGAUAUUGGUUUACAUAGUCCAUCUUUUGUAUUAAAAUGUAAGAAAUAAGAAUCAAUUAAACAUGAUAUUGGUUUACAUAGUUCAUCUUUUUUAUUAAAAUGUAAGAAAUAAGAAUCAUAUCCUCAACGAUGAAAUGAAAGUUAUCGUAUUGUCAGAUGCAAGUGACAACUCUUCAAGGCAAACGAUCAACUAAAACUAUUUAGUUAAAAAAUAGUGAUUUUAUUUCUGCUAAUGUAAGUGCCCAAAGCCAUUUUAUGUAUAGGUAAGUGAAUACAAAGUUUAAAGAAAUUCUCUCUGAAAAUCAAUGAUAUUUAUAUGUUUGACAUAUCUAUUCAUUUUCCAUUUUAUACAAAAAGAACUUCAAUAUCAAGUUAGUACAACAAAAAUGCUGAGCAUGUAGUUAGUCAUAUUAGGCACAAAUCAUCACUUAGUAGACAUAAAAUUACACAACCAGAUACGACUUAGUAGAAAUAAACAUAGUGUUUAACCAAAGAGCAAAUAGAAUCUAAAACAGUAUACGAAAUAUGCACGGUAAAUUCUCACAUCAAUUCAAUCACAAUAGUAAUUAUUGCCUGCAUAACAAAAUAGAAUGUUAGACUUUUGGUUUUCAAGCUAGAAAAUUCAAACUUCUUUCUUUCAGAUAAAUAUAGAGGCUAUGUUUGUUGGGUCGCAUAAUUGUUUGAUAAAUAAGGCCCAUAUUCUAUAGGCCCAAAACAAAUUGGGCGCAUGAGGUAUGUAAUAUAGUAUUUAACAGAUUGUAUCUUCAUCUCGUUAGGGUUUAAGACACACACCUCUCGCCGGUAGCCGUUACUCGCCGCAGCUAAUCAGUCGGAAAACCGCCAAAAUGGUUAGUUUUCUCUCUCUGUUAAUUCAUCUCGUCAAUUUUGUUUAGCUUGUUAUUUGUUGCCUGAUAGAUCAGUUGUAUUUUAGUCUUCAUGGCUUUUGUUCCAGGUCUACACUGUACUGUAUUAGUUAUACCUUUGCUAAUUGCUUGCUAUAUGUGUAAUUCAUCUAAUUCUUGGCUGUUCCUUUCGAUUUAUGCGCUCAAAUGUAUGUGUUGAUCUCAAGUGGUGCUGGUUAAUUUUAAGGCUCGUAUGUGUAAAUAAUCAAUUACAUUAGUUACUGUCGCCAUUAGAUAUUAGUGUAUACUGCUUUUUUAGUUGUAUUUUGCUGUCAUUUUGAUUGCUAUUGCACUCUAUGUUGUACUGUAUCAUACUGUUUUAAUGAAUUCAACAUUUGGAAAGAUUUUAUGGUUCUACAGUUAGAGCUACUUUAAUAAGUUGAUUUUAGUACAAAAUAAUAUUACUAAAUAAUUAGUAAAGAAAUAGUGAGAAAUUAAAUAAAUCGGACGAAAUUGGUCGUUACACAAGGUGAGUUGGUGAGAUGAGACGGAUACCUAACUGUUCUUUUAAUGAUAGCUUAAGAUUUGGACAGUGAAAUUGUGUAAUAUUGUUCAAGUUGUUGACGUAUUGAAAAAUUGUUCUUUACGCUUGUGAAAGAACAUGCAUCUAGCGUUGUUUAACAUAGAUAGAUUAUAAUAAAAAGCUGUGGAAUAGCUCCCCUUUUUCUUUUUGGUUAAGUGACUUUUGUUCUUUCAGCUUUCAUUUAUAUAAGUGGUAAUAUUUUUGCAUUUAGGCUUUGGAAACAUCAUACUAAAGUGAAUUGUGUAACUUCUUGUCCAUAUAUAGGCAAGAGGGUUGAAGAAACAUUUGAAGAGGCUCAAUGCGCCUAAGCAUUGGAUGCUUGAUAAACUUGGAGGUGCUUUUGUAAGUGACAUGUCUUUCCCUAUAGUCUUUUUUUUGAUAGUACUACUUAGUUUCCUCCUCCUUGACUUUACUCUUCUCCUUUGUUUCUACUGCAGGCUCCCAAGCCUUCUUCUGGUCCACAUAAAUCAAGGGAAUGUUUGCCAUUGGUUAUUAUCCUGAGGAACAGGUUGAAAUAUGCGUUGACGUACCGUGAGGUCAUUUCUAUCUUGAUGCAACGCCAAGUUAUGGUUGAUGGGAAAGUUAGGACAGAUAAGACUUACCCUGCUGGUUUCAUGGGUAAGAACAGCUCCAUUAGAUUGUUUUUUCAUUUCAUAAUCUUUAGAUUUUUGUUCUCCUUAUUUCUGUGCUGCUUAGGUUUGUUAUCUUAGUGAUUCAUCUAUACACAUGGUUUCACAGUUCCGAAGACAAUUGUUGAUCAGAUUGUCUACAAGCUUUUUUAUCAAAAACCAUUGUCUCGUGUCCUUUUUCUUCUUUGUUCUCUUGUUGCUAUGUUUGUUGAAUUCCUUGAUAAAUUGGUAAUGCUGUUAUUUUGUUUGUGUAGAUGUUGUUACUAUUCCAAAGACGAAUGAGAGCUUCCGACUUCUUUAUGACACUAAGGGUCGGUUCCGUCUCCACUCACUCAGAGAUGAGGAAGCCAAGGUUUGAAUCUGUUUCCUGCUUCUUCUUUAUUCCGGUUUGCUUUGGAUGCUGUGCUGUUAAAGUAGUGACCUUGUUUCUGCUCUUUGCAGUUCAAACUUUGUAAGGUUCGAUCAGUGCAGUUUGGACAGAAGGGGAUCCCAUAUCUCAACACUUAUGAUGGAAGAACAAUCCGCUACCCUGAUCCCCUCAUCAAGGCCAAUGACACUAUCAAGCUUGACUUAGAUUCGAACAAGAUUGUUGACUUCAUCAAGUUUGAUGUUGGAAAUGUGGUCAUGGUUACUGGUGGUAGAAACAGGGGACGUGUUGGAAUUCUUAAGAACAGGGAGAAGCACAAGGGUAGCUUUGAGACAGUUCACAUUCAGGACUCCCUGGGGCACGAGUUUGCUACUCGUCUGGGCAAUGUGUUCACUCUUGGCAAGGGUAGUAAGCCAUGGGUGUCUCUACCUAAGGGUAAAGGUAUCAAGUUAUCUAUCAUUGAAGAGGCUCGCAAGAGGAUGGCUGCUCAGUCAGCUACAGCUGCUUAAAAUGUCUAGGUUGGACUUAUGAUGAAUUUAACAGGUUGGGCCAUGAUUCUCACUGUUUAGAGAUACCAA